CUUUUCACCACCUGUGCACAUUUUGUAGGCUUGGAUAAAUAUGUCUCGAGGAAGCUCGGUUUGAGGACUGCCGUGCUGCAAAAACCAGGCUUUCCUUGUAUUUUUCCAGCCUAUGCAUUUUAUUAUACACUCGGUAUGUCAUGGAAUGUUAUUUGGUUGGCUUAAUUGCCAGUAAACCUUAUACAACUUUCAACAACGGAUCUCUUGGCUCUCGCAUCGAUGAAGAACGCAGCGAAAUGCGAUAAGUAAUGUGAAUUGCAGAAUUCAGUGAAUCAUCGAAUCUUUGAACGCACCUUGCGCUCCUUGGUAUUCCGAGGAGCAUGCCUGUUUGAGUGUCAUGAAAUUCUCAACCUUUUCAGCUUUUUGUUGAAUAGGCUUGGAUUUUGGGAGUUGUUGCAGGCUGCUCAGAAGUCUGCUCUCCUUAAAUGUAUUAGCGGGGCCCUUGUUGUCUAGCAUUUGGUGUGAUAAUUAUCUACGCCAUUGUGAACAAUGUAAUAGGUCGGCUUCUAAUCGUCUCGUAAAGAGACAAUCUCUGACAUUUUGACCUCAAAUCAGGUAGGACUACCCGCUGAACUUAAGCAUAUCAAUAAGCGGAGGAAAAGAAACUAACAAGGAUUCCCCUAGUAACUGCGAGUGAAGCGGGAAAAGCUCAAUUUAAAAUCUGAUGG
Molecule: ribosomal RNA, 668 nt
Filed under: Tricholoma aurantium
Lineage: Eukaryota; Fungi; Basidiomycota; Agaricomycetes; Agaricales; Tricholomataceae
Description: eukaryotic LSU rRNA
Rfam family: 5.8S ribosomal RNA (bases 185-338)
Source: RNAcentral